CUAAGAAUAUUCCGCAAUGGACGGAAGUCUGACGGAGCGACGCCGCGUGGAUGACGAAGGCCGAAAGGUUGUAAAGUUCUUUUGCUGGGGAAGAAUAACCGCAGGAGGGAAUGCCUGUGGGAUGACAAGAACCGGCGAAUAAGCCCCGGCCAACUACGUGCCAGCAGCCGCGGUAACACGUAGGGGGCGAGCGUUGUUCGGAAUUACUGGGCGUAAAGGGCAUGUAGGCGGCUUGGAAAGCCUGGCGUGAAAGUCUGCAGCUUAACUGCAGGGGUGCGCUGGGAACUGCUGAGCUUGAGUGACGGAGAGGGAGCUGGAAUUCCUGGUGUAGGGGUGAAAUCUGUAGAUAUCAGGAAGAACACCGAUGGCGAAGGCAAGCUCCUGGCCGAUGACUGACGCUGAGGUGCGAAAGUGUGGGGAUCAAACAGGAUUAGAUACCCUGGUAGUCCACACAGUCAACGAUGUGCACUAGGUGCUGGGGCGGUAGCUUCGGUGCCGGAGCGAACGUGGUAAGUGCACCGCCUGGGGAGUAUGCUCGCAAGGGUGAAACUUAAAGGAAUUGACGGGGUCAUAGCUGUUUCCU
Molecule: ribosomal RNA, 583 nt
Filed under: uncultured bacterium
Lineage: Bacteria
Description: partial 16S ribosomal RNA
Rfam family: Bacterial small subunit ribosomal RNA
Source: RNAcentral